RNAcentral lists this ribosomal RNA (468 nucleotides) under uncultured bacterium. RNAcentral's name for it is "partial 16S ribosomal RNA". It matches the Rfam family "Bacterial small subunit ribosomal RNA", at positions 28 to 507 of the family's 1533-position model. The record is from RNAcentral.
GACGAACGCUGGCGGCGUGCUUAACACAUGCAAGUCGAACGGAAAGGCCCUGCUUUUGUGGGGUGCUCGAGUGGCGAACGGGUGAGUAACACGUGAGUAACCUGCCCUUGACUUUGGGAUAACUUCAGGUAACUGGGGCUAAUACCGGAUAGCAGCGCCUGCUGCAUUGUGGGGGUUGGAAAGUUUCGGCGGUGGGGGAUGGACUCGCGGCUUAUCAGCUUGUUGGUGGGGUAGUGGCUUACCAAGGCUUUGACGGGUAGCCGGCCUGAGAGGGUGACCGGCCACAUUGGGACUGAGACACGGCCCAGACUCGUACGGGAGGCAGCAGUGGGGAAUAUUGCACAAUGGGCGGAAGCCUGAUGAAGCAACGCCGCGUGCGGGAUGACGGCCUUCGGGUUGUAAACCGCUUUCGCCUGUGACGAAGCGUGAGUGACGGUAAUGGGUAAAGAAGCACCGGCUAACUACGUG